This 61-nucleotide transfer RNA is filed under the name Proasellus coiffaiti. RNAcentral's name for it is "transfert RNA-L2(TTA)". Lineage: Eukaryota; Metazoa; Arthropoda; Malacostraca; Isopoda; Asellidae. The record is from RNAcentral.
UCUAGUGUAGUCAAAAUCAUGACGUAGGAUUUAAGCUCCUAAGGUACAAAUAUCUCUAGAA